GGAGAAGAUGGAGUGAAAAUUUAG
This 24-nucleotide non-coding RNA is filed under the name Arabidopsis thaliana (thale cress). The record is from RNAcentral. Lineage: Eukaryota; Viridiplantae; Streptophyta; Magnoliopsida; Brassicales; Brassicaceae.